AUGCUACCACUAACCGUCCACCUGUCCUUCAUGCGCGGCCACUACUGGGCGGGCAUGAAGGCCAACUGGAUCAUCCUCAUCCACCAAUCCGGUAGUCCGUGGCGUCUCAUGGAUAUCUACACCCACAGACGCAAAUGCGCUGGCCUUCAUGAUUCCAGGACAUGGAAUCAUACCAGCCGGUGGUACCAUAUAACUGGAAUUAACCGAUACAAGUCAAAGAAGGAUUGGCCGGUGCUGCCGACUGGCAUUAAGUUCGAUCCCACGGAUCAAGAGCUGAUCGAGCACCUUGAGGCCCAAGUGAGUGCUGACAGCGCAAGAUCUCACCCUCUCAUCGAUUUGUUCAAACCAACCAUCGGCAGCGAGCACGGCAUAUGCUACACCCAUCCUGCGAAACUUUCAGGUAUCACACUAAGUGGCCUAAGCAAGCAUUUCUUUCAGCGCAAUUCCAGGGCAUUCAAAAGGGACACGUGGACGCGUCAUAAGAUACAGUCGGAGUGUGGCAUGCACGCGAUGUGGCACAACACCGGCAAUACCUUGCCGGUGAUGGUUAACGGCCGGCAGACGGACAGCAAAAAGGUUCUAGUGCUGCACACCAACAAGAACUUCAACCAGCAGAGGGCCAACUGGGUGAUGCACUAG
This 639-nucleotide ribosomal RNA is filed under the name Triticum aestivum (bread wheat). RNAcentral describes it as "partial small subunit ribosomal RNA". Lineage: Eukaryota; Viridiplantae; Streptophyta; Magnoliopsida; Poales; Poaceae. The record is from RNAcentral.